This 259-nucleotide ribosomal RNA is filed under the name uncultured bacterium. RNAcentral describes it as "partial small subunit ribosomal RNA". It matches the Rfam family "Bacterial small subunit ribosomal RNA", at positions 26 to 285 of the family's 1533-position model. The record is from RNAcentral.
AGGACGAACGCUGGCGGCGUGCUUAACACAUGCAAGUGGAGCGACGAACCAGGCUUCGGCCUGGGGCAGAGCCGCGAACGGGUGAGUAACACGUGAGUAACCUGCCCUCCACUCUGGGAUAAGCCCGGGAAACUGGGUCUAAUACCGGAUAUGACUGCGGAUUUCAUGGUCUGUGGUGGAAAGUUUUUUCGGUGGGGGAUGGACUCGCGGCCUAUCAGCUUGUUGGUGAGGUAAUGGCUUACCAAGGCGACGACGGGUA